UAGGGAAUCUUCGUCAAUGGACGACAGUCUGACCGAGCAACGCCGCGUGAGUGAAGAAGGUUUUCGGAUCGUAAAACUCUGUUGUUAGAGAAGAACAAGGACGUUAGUAACUGAACGUCCCCUGACGGUAUCUAACCAGAAAGCCACGGCUAACUACGUGCCAGCAGCCGCGGUAAUACGUAGGUGGCAAGCGUUGUCCGGAUUUAUUGGGCGUAAAGCGAGCGCAGGCGGUUUCUUAAGUCUGAUGUGAAAGCCCCCGGCUCAACCGGGGAGGGUCAUUGGAAACUGGGAGACUUGAGUGCAGAAGAGGAGAGUGGAAUUCCAUGUGUAGCGGUGAAAUGCGUAGAUAUAUGGAGGAACACCAGUGGCGAAGGCGGCUCUCUGGUCUGUAACUGACGCUGAGGCUCGAAAGCGUGGGGAGCAAACAGG
RNAcentral lists this ribosomal RNA (429 nucleotides) under Gemmatimonadota bacterium. RNAcentral describes it as "Gemmatimonadetes bacterium partial 16S ribosomal RNA". It matches the Rfam family "Bacterial small subunit ribosomal RNA", at positions 355 to 776 of the family's 1533-position model. Lineage: Bacteria; Pseudomonadati; Gemmatimonadota. The record is from RNAcentral.